Molecule: ribosomal RNA, 917 nt
Filed under: Staphylococcus sp.
Lineage: Bacteria; Bacillati; Bacillota; Bacilli; Caryophanales; Staphylococcaceae
Also listed under: 1 other name
Description: partial 16S ribosomal RNA
Rfam family: Bacterial small subunit ribosomal RNA
Source: RNAcentral
GCACAAUGGCGGCCUGCUAAUACAUGCAAGUCGAGCGAACAGACGAGGAGCUUGCUCCUUUGACGUUAGCGGCGGACGGGUGAGUAACACGUGGGUAACCUACCUAUAAGACUGGGAUAACUUCGGGAAACCGGAGCUAAUACCGGAUAAUAUUUCGAACCGCAUGGUUCGAUAGUGAAAGAUGGCUCUGCUAUCACUUAUAGAUGGACCUGCGCCGUAUUAGCUAGUUGGUAAGGUAACGGCUUACCAAGGCAACGAUACGUAGCCGACCUGAGAGGGUGAUCGGCCACACUGGAACUGAGACACGGUCCAGACUCCUACGGGAGGCAGCAGUAGGGAAUCUUCCGCAAUGGGCGAAAGCCUGACGGAGCAACGCCGCGUGAGUGAUGAAGGUCUUCGGAUCGUAAAACUCUGUUAUUAGGGAAAAACAAACGUGUAAGUAACUGUGCACGUCUUGACGGUACCUAAUCAGAAAGCCACGGCUAACUACGUGCCAGCAGCCGCGGUAAUACGUAGGUGGCAAGCGUUAUCCGGAAUUAUUGGGCGUAAAGCGCGCGUAGGCGGUUUUUUAAGUCUGAUGUGAAAGCCCACGGCUCAACCGUGGAGGGUCAUUGGAAACUGGAAAACUUGAGUGCAGAAGAGGAAAGUGGAAUUCCAUGUGUAGCGGUGAAAUGCGCAGAGAUAUGGAGGAACACCAGUGGCGAAGGCGACUUUCUGGUCUGUAACUGACGCUGAUGUGCGAAAGCGUGGGGAUCAAACAGGAUUAGAUACCCUGGUAGUCCACGCCGUAAACGAUGAGUGCUAAGUGUUAGGGGGUUUCCGCCCCUUAGUGCUGCAGCUAACGCAUUAAGCACUCCGCCUGGGGAGUACGACCGCAAGGUUGAAACUCAAAGGAAUUGACGGGGACCCGCACAAGC